GGCAAAUUAUUAAAAGAAAAAUCUAAUUCCUUGGGAUUCUAUAGGAGUAUUUCGUAUAGGGAAAAAAUCACAUGCUCACAGCUGCCCCUCUUUUCUCGGAGACACGAAGGGUUUUCGGGCAAAGAUAAAAUAGCAAUUAUGAGGGAUUUUUGCCCGUUUGAAACUCCAUGAGAAGCAUUUUUUGAAAAGAGCCUGACCAAACCUUGCUUAAGAGGUUGCCUACAUAUCCUUGGCUAUAAAAGAAUCAGGUCAGUGUAGUUAUGGAAGUUUCGGUAGCUGGGGCUACCAGGGAGCUGUGAUUUCACUGUUGAUGUUGCUACUACUGCUUGCCGAACUCCUUAUUGCACUAAGACAAAAUAAAAGAAUCUAGAAUAGACUACGAUCCAUGAAUUAUAAGAAUCCUAUCUAUAUCUUCAAACUUAAUCAUGCAGUUUCUGUUGCUUUGUUGACUUGUACUCUCCAAGUGAAAUUCCUUUGCUGCUGACUUGAAUUGUAUUCUGAGGUGCUUUCCCUUUGUUUUUCAGGAGGGCACCUGAUUACUGAACUUGAAUCGUCUUCCUUCGAAUAUUGCUGCCUUCCCUUUGUUCUCCAGGUGGGCGCCUGAUUACCAACAUUUGAAUUAUCUUCCUUUCCUCUGACACUUGACUUGUUUUCCCUUUGUUUUCCAGGUAGGCGCCUGAUUGCCGAACUUGCACCGUCUUCCUUUGAACAUUGCUGCCUUCCCUUUGUUCUCUGGGUGGGCUACUGAUUACCAACACUUGGAUUUCUUUCCUUUUGUUCUUCAGGAGGGUGCCUGAUUACCAACAUCUGCACUGUUUUUCCUUGACACUUGAACUGUUUCCUUUUGUUCUCCAGGUGGGCUCCUGAUUUCCAACACUUGAAUUGCUGCUUCCCUUUGUUCUCCAGGUGGUCUCCUGAUUACCGACACUUGAACUGUUGCUUCCCUUUGUUCUCCAGGUGGGAUCUUGAUUACCAACACUUGAAUUGCUCUCCCUUUGUUUUCAAGGUGGGCUCCUGAUUACCAACACUUGAAUUGCCCUCCCUUUGUUCUCCAGGUGGGCUCUUGAUUACAAACACUUGAAUCGCUCUCCCUUUGUUCUCCAGGUGGGCUCCAAAUUACCAACACUUGAAUCGCUCUCCCUUUGUUCUCCAGGUGGGCUCCUGAUUAACAAUCCUUGAAUUGCUCUCCCUUUGUUCUCCAGGUGGGCUCCUGAUUACCGACACUUGAAUUGCUUUUCCCUUUGUUCUCCAGGUGGACUACUGAUUACCGACACUUGAAUUGCUUUUCCCUUCUUUCUCCAGGUUGGCGCCUGAUUGCCAAAACUUUAACCGUAUUCCCUCAGAACUUGAUUUGUUUUCCCUUUAUUCUCCAGGUGGGCUCCUGAUUGCUGAACUUGAACUACUUCCUCUUGCGACUAUUUUUCCUUUGAACUGCCUUCCAAAGUUUCUACAGGUGAGUGCCUGAUUGCUCGAACCUGAAUUGUCCUUUUUCUUGAAACUCGUGUUGUUUUCCCUUACUCUCCAGGUGGGCGCCUAAUUACAACAAAAUAGACAAACCAAGAAAAUUUUCUGCUCUAGUUUGGUAGCUGGGCACAUCUAUGAGUGUUAAUUGAAUCAUGUUAUCACACCUCCUUUUUACCUACACCGAAGUAAAGGGGUGUAAAGGGGAGUUUUUUCCAACUUAAAGUGACAAUCGAAACAGGAUUAUUUAUUUAUUAAAUUCAGAGUCGCCACUUGGGAUAAUUUUAUGGUGUCCCAAGUCACCAGUUCAAAUCCCGAAUCGAGGAAAAGAUUGACUCUGUAUUACAGUCCGCAAACAUAGAAAUCCGGGUAAGGAAUUCUGUUAACCCGGGAGAAGGUGUUAGGCAUUCCCGGAUUUCGUGGUUCUAGCACGGUCGCUCAACUAUUAUAAUUGGCUUAUUAUCUGAUUUUAGUACACUUUUAAACCUAUGCACAUUCUUAACUUUAAAACCGCUUUUGGUAUUUAUUAAAGAAAAUUACAACGUUAUUUAAAUGUGUCUUGAACCACGUUACAUAAAUGCACCCGCAGUCCGCAACACAUUUUAUCUAACGUUGUUGAGAUUGGGAUUUGGGUCACAUAAAUGCGCACCCGAGUUUAAGAAAAUAAUAUUUUAAUAGCGCGUCUAAAACAACUACGCACUUUCAACUAUGCGAGGGCCAUGGAAAAUUCAACUGAAUGGCACGCCUCGAUUUCUAAGGAUUCAAAAUUAAUCAAGUGAGGGCCAUAGGUUCUGGGAUUUUAUUUGGCAUGGCACGCCUCAAUUUAUUUCAAAAGAAUGUAUUCAACUAAAGCAAACCACAUAUGUUUAUAAAUAAUAACUGACAUGAACUCAUAAAUAAGCAUAUUAGCUACAUGGUACUAAUCUGGGAUGAACUUGCAUUAAUAGUAACAACUGCCCACCACUUUGCAAACUCCAUGGAGUGUGAAAUAGCUUAGACCAGACUGAGCAAACUACUUGAAUAAUAUGAAUGUUUUGGCACUAUAACAACAUUUAACAUGUAGAAGACCUCACAACUAUGUUUAAGAGAUUAUUUAACCUAUAUUGUGCUUAUAUAAAGUGACAAUGUAAAAGAAAUUUGACUUUAUUAUCGUCUGUAUGCCCACGUCAAUUGCAAUUUGCCAAGUUAUACCCAAAAAUGGUCACUUGUACAACUUUGUUCCUUGAUAUACAACAACGCACAUAUUCAAUCAAAUGUUGCUAAUUCAAAUCCUAGUCUCCAGAAUAAAGCACAACAAUCCACUAGAGAACUAAAUUAGUACUUCAGUGCAAAGUAUUGAUAAAGAAUCGAUACUUCACUUCACGAAUCAGAACAACAAUGACAACAAAAGUUUCAUUCAAUGCAGAAACGCAGAUCCAGUUUAUAACAAAUAUACACGCCCUUUUUAUUGCUAUUUCAAUAUGAUAACAAUCGAAUUAGAGGUCUACGAACAGAACAAAAAUAGAUCAACACACAAAAGUGAACUUGAAGAUUCAACAAACUUGAAGAAUUUUAAUUGAAGACCAAAGGAAUUAAGGUUUUUCACCUGAUGAAGAAACAGAACAAGUUAUCAACGGAACGUCGAACCGGCAAACUCGACUCAAAUGAAACUCCGCCGGUUGAAAAUUGAAAACUCUUCGAUGAUGAAAUCCAGUCGAGUCAACCAAGUGAGCGUACGAGCAGGAAAACAUUAGAGGCAGUCAAAGCUACUGAAUCUCGUCAUUUCCGGCAAUGUAACAGUGAAAAGAGAGAGAGAAAAUACGAGAAACGAGAAUGGCGUGAUAGAAGUUCGCCGGAUUCAAUGGAGGUUCACCGAAUUUAACCAAACACUCGACCAGAUCUGAAACUCAUCGCACAUGGAGGAGAGGAGAGGACGGAAGCCAUGAAGCUUCGUUGAUCGUCGACAAGUUGACAGCAGCAAUAGUUCCCGGCAGAAGAAGAAGCAGCCUAGCUUUUUCUAGGUUCUUUAGAGGAAGAGGAAGCUUUGGUGGUUUUGUGAGGGUGAAGCAUUGUUUAUGGCUGUUGCGUGGUGAAGGGAGGUCCGACGAUGAAGUUUUGGUGGUGAGGGUGCGGCUAGUAUGGAGAUUAGGUUGCUAAAGAUGGAGGUCCAGUAGGUAGGGUGGUCUGGCGGAGGAGAUGUUGGUGGUGUUGGAGAGGUCAGGGGUCAUUUGGUCAUUCAGCUGAGGAAGAAGAUGGGCUGCUCGAUGGAUGGGAACUGUGUUUUCCAGCAGACUGGCGGUGUGGCUGGCGGGGCUGGUUCGUCGGUUUGGGAUGGUUAUGGCAGGCUAAGGGCGGCUGGGGUCUCUAAAGGUGCUAGGGUUCAGCUAGGUUUUUGGGUGGUGUCUUCUUGAAGAAGAAAGCUGCCAUGGAUGUCCUCCUCUCUU
RNAcentral lists this long non-coding RNA (3884 nucleotides) under Nicotiana tabacum (common tobacco). Its description in RNAcentral is "long non-coding RNA (NTAB_LNC005494)". The record is from RNAcentral. Lineage: Eukaryota; Viridiplantae; Streptophyta; Magnoliopsida; Solanales; Solanaceae.